CCUUUUACGACCCCCGCGGGAAGAAAGGGGGUGGUGCUAUUCUACUCGGCCGACACUACACGACAUAAUCAUAUUAAGAACAAGCAGAAUAUAUGUAGCAACCCCAUCGCCACCGAAGAACCUCAGGACCUUCUAAAUGGCAACGGCUCACAUAACUUUUGCAUAUUAUAAUUUUUAAUAAUAUUAAUAUAUCAUCAUAAGUAACGAUA
Molecule: long non-coding RNA, 209 nt
Organism: Melitaea cinxia (Glanville fritillary)
Lineage: Eukaryota; Metazoa; Arthropoda; Insecta; Lepidoptera; Nymphalidae
Exons: 2
Source: RefSeq, a predicted model, not a curated record